AGAAAGUAAAAUCACAGUGUUUGUGUGAGUAAAGAGUUCCACUGAAAUUCUCUGUUCUCUUCACAGGAACAUCGCUACCAUUGCUGUGUUCUACGCACUGCCAGUGGUCCAGUUGGUCAUCACCUAUCAAACGGUGGUCAAUGUCACAGGGAACCAGGAUAUCUGCUUUUACAACUUCCUGUGCGCCCACCCCCUGGGAGCACUCAGUGCUUUCAACAACAUCCUCAGUAAUCUUGGUUACGUGAUGCUGGGACUCCUAUUUCUACUCAUUGUCCUCAGGAGAGACAUUGUCCACAACCGAGCUCUGGUCCGCAACGAACUUAAUGCUGUGGUAAGACAUGAAAACACAAACG
Cynoglossus semilaevis (tongue sole) is the source of this 353-nucleotide long non-coding RNA. RefSeq lists it as uncharacterized. The transcript is spliced from 3 exons. The record is from RefSeq and is a predicted model, not a curated record. NCBI's taxonomy places the organism in Eukaryota, Metazoa, Chordata, Actinopteri, Pleuronectiformes, Cynoglossidae.